Molecule: ribosomal RNA, 1545 nt
Filed under: Triticum aestivum (bread wheat)
Lineage: Eukaryota; Viridiplantae; Streptophyta; Magnoliopsida; Poales; Poaceae
Description: partial small subunit ribosomal RNA
Source: RNAcentral
AUGGCGGUAGGCAGGAUGCUGGAGCUCCUCGUCUUCUUCUCCACGGCCGGCAGCUUGCUUCUCGACUUGGCGGCGGUGUUCCUCUGUAUCCUGGCCGGCCCAUACUACCCGACGUUUAGGCUGCCCAACCAGUUGAUGUGGUGGACUUCCUUCUGCGGUGCCGUCCCGUGGGGUGCCGUGCUGCUGAUGUUACAGGCCAACUGCUGGUGUCACGGCUGGGAGGCCACCAACGUCGACCUCCUGGUCCUGAGCGCCGUGGAGUGGGUCGUCGCGUGUUCCACCUUCGGCUCGGCGUGUGCGGCCCUCGCCGUCGACCAGCUCGCCAUCCAGCACAGCUACUGCGGCCCGAGGGACGCCGUGUGCUCAAUGUACCUUGUGGCCGCCGCGAUCUCAUGCGCCGCCGGGGCUCUCGCCGCCGCGUCGGCCUUGGGGAUGCUCUGGAUCCUCGCCUCCCGGUUCCGCCCAUCCAUGGUGUCGAAGUCGAACACAGGCAGCAAUCUCAAUGCGACGAUGGAUGACGACGGCGGUGGCGCCGAAAGCAAGCCAGAUCUUGUGACGCGCGUCUGGGGACGGCACGCUGACACUCUUGUGCGCGGUGAACAAGCCGUCGACGACGAGGUUGUGUCACGUACGCCCCCGACGCCAGGUACAACGCCGCCCGACCACGUCCUCCACCUCCAGUACGGUGCCGUCCAGCUCCCUCCAGUCCUCCUCCACCACCCGCGUGAGCGCAUCCUCGCCGGCGCCGGGAAAUAUCUCAGCCAUAGACACCGCACCGCCAUCCCGACGCGGCGAGACCGAGAGCGCGUUCACGCGCACCGCGACGAUGACGGUGGCCUUGCAGGUCGCGUUCGUGAGGAUCGGGGAGCCGGAGCUGAGAACGCCAACGACGCUGGUCGUGCACGGGAUGCCACCGUCGCGGAGGGCCGGCGCCAUGACGUGCGCGUCGCGGCAUCCGGCGCGGAGGUCUGCACGCAGCGACCCAGGCCGUCCUGCACGUCGUCGAUGACGACGUUGGCGCCGUUCCUGAUACUGCGCCGCCUGUCGAUGCCGCUCACGGCGCCCGUGAUGGACGCAACUUUACCACUCCUGUUGGCCUUUAACCCACGGCCAGCGCGCGUCGGAUGCGCGUGCGUGCAUGCGCCAGACGUGCCGGGCGCGGUCCGUUAUAGGAGGCCGUUGGCGAGCUGGGCGGCGCAAUCGGGUCAGGUCAGUGGGGCUCGGCGCGACCAGAGACGCGUGUGUGCAUGUCGUGGGCGCAGCCAGAGCGGGGCCAGGUCAUGGCUCGGCUGGGUAGGGGGCGUGCGGGUCGUGCCUAGCGCAGACCCAGGGUAUGGACUGUGGUGCGCGGUGGUUCCGACGGAGGGCGUGGCGGUCGACGCCGGAAGGAGCAAGACGACGAGGGCUAUGAUGUUGGGGGCAUUGUCGGAGGAGGUGCUCCUGCAGGUGGCGACAAAGCCCACCGCGAAGGAGGUAUGCGACUCCCUCAAGGUGCGCUUCAACGGUGCUAGUCGGGUCCUGGCGGCGGAUGGAGGACGGCGAUGA